Molecule: ribosomal RNA, 253 nt
Filed under: uncultured bacterium
Lineage: Bacteria
Description: partial 16S ribosomal RNA
Rfam family: Bacterial small subunit ribosomal RNA
Source: RNAcentral
UACAGGGGGGGCAAGCGUUGUUCGGAAUUACUGGGCGUAAAGAGCGUGUAGGCGGCUCGGUAAGUCUGCUGUGAAAGUCCAGGGCUCAACCCUGGGAUGCCGGUGGAUACUGUCGAGCUCGAGUCCGGUAGAGGCGAGUGGAAUUCCUGGUGUAGCGGUGAAAUGCGCAGAUAUCAGGAGGAACACCAAUGGCGAAGGCAGCUCGCUGGGACGUUACUGACGCUGAGACGCGAAAGCGUGGGGAGCAAACAGG